This is a non-coding RNA of Lolium perenne, 216 nucleotides long. The record is from RefSeq and is a predicted model, not a curated record. NCBI's taxonomy places the organism in Eukaryota, Viridiplantae, Streptophyta, Magnoliopsida, Poales, Poaceae.
CUCUCUGACGGGCAUAGUUCAGCUCCGCUCUGAAGCAAAUUCUUUUGUCUUUCGAGCAUAAAAGCCAGCAACUCUCUGCGGAAACGCAGAUCAGAUCUUGUUUUCAGAUGCUGAUUGAUUACAGCCAGGAGUAACAGAUCGCUCUUUGUUUGGCUGUCAUACGUCUGCCUUUCCUCAUUGGAUCGUGGAUUUCCCGCCGUGUUUUUUUUUAUUUAG